AACGAACGCUGGCGGCAUGCCUAACACAUGCAAGUCGAACGAGACCUUCGGGUCUAGUGGCGCACGGGUGCGUAACGCGUGGGAACCUGCCCUUAGGUUCGGAAUAACUCACCGAAAGGGGUGCUCAUACCGGAUAAUGUCUUCGGACCACAGAUUUAACGCCUUUGGAUGGGCCCGCGUUGGAUUCGCUAGUUGGUAGGGUAAAAGCCUCUCAAGGCGACGAUCCAUAGCUGGGCUGAGAGGCUGAUCCGCCACACUGGGACUGAGAAACGGCCCAGACUCCUACGGGAGGGAGGCGAGGGGGAUACUGGAAUAUGGGGGAAAGGCUGAACCAGUUAGGGCGGGAGAGUGAUUUAGGUCUGAAGGUUGUAAAGCUGGUUUACCCGGGGGGAGAAUGACAGUACCGGGAGAAUAAGCUCCGGCUAACUCCGUG
Molecule: ribosomal RNA, 433 nt
Filed under: uncultured bacterium
Lineage: Bacteria
Description: partial 16S ribosomal RNA
Rfam family: Bacterial small subunit ribosomal RNA
Source: RNAcentral